This 118-nucleotide ribosomal RNA is filed under the name Notamacropus eugenii (tammar wallaby). The record is from RNAcentral. Lineage: Eukaryota; Metazoa; Chordata; Mammalia; Diprotodontia; Macropodidae.
AAUGAUAGCCAUGCUGCCCUGAAUGCUCUCAGCCUCAUGUGAUCUCAGAUGCUAAAUUAGAUUGGGCCUAAUUAGUACUUGGAUGGAAGACCGGCUGAGAAUCUGAAGAGUUAUAUUC